Molecule: ribosomal RNA, 551 nt
Filed under: Ustilago sp. DMKU-SP09
Lineage: Eukaryota; Fungi; Basidiomycota; Ustilaginomycetes; Ustilaginales; Ustilaginaceae
Description: LSU rRNA
Rfam family: Eukaryotic large subunit ribosomal RNA
Source: RNAcentral
GCCCAAGAUUGAAAGCUGGCGUCUUCGGCGUCCGCAUUGUAAUCUCAAGAAGUGUUUUCCGCUUCGGACCAUGCCUAAGUCCCUUGGAAAAGGGCAUCAUAGAGGGUGAUAAUCCCGUACAUGGCAUGGAGCGCCCGAAGCUUUGUGAUACGCUUACUACGAGUCGAGUUGUUUGGGAAUGCAGCUCAAAUUGGGUGGUAAAUGCCAUCUAAGGCUAAAUAUUGGGGAGAGACCGAUAGCGAACAAGUACAGUGAUGGAAAGAUGAAAAGAACUUUGAAAAGAGAGUUAAACAGUACGUGAAAUUGCCAAAAGGGAAGGGUAGGAGGUCAGAGAUGCGUCUUGGGAUUCAGCCUUGCUUUUGCAUGGUGUUUUUCCCAAGUUGCAGGCCAACGUCGGUUUUGGGCACUGGAGAAGGGUAGGAGGAACGUGGCACCUCUCGGGGUGUGUUAUAGCCUCCUACUGGAUACAGCGACCGAGACCGAGGAACGCAGCGUACUCGUAAGAGCGGGCCUUUUGGCACCUUUACGCUUAGGGCGUUGGCAUAAUGGCC